This 900-nucleotide ribosomal RNA is filed under the name uncultured archaeon. RNAcentral's name for it is "bacterial SSU rRNA". It matches the Rfam family "Archaeal small subunit ribosomal RNA", at positions 455 to 1354 of the family's 1478-position model. The record is from RNAcentral.
GUGUCAACAGCCGCGGUAAAACCAGCACCUCAAGUGGUCAGGAGGAUUAUUGGGCCUAAAGCAUCCGUAGCCUGCUCUGUAAGUUUCCGGUUAAAUCCAUUAGCUUAACUUAUGGGCCGCCGGAAAAACUGCAAAGCUAGGGAGUGGGAGAGGUAGACGGUACUCGGUAGGAAGGGGCAAAAUCCUUUGAUCUAUUGAUGACCACCUGUGGCGAAGGCGGUCUACCAGAACACGUUCGACGGUGAGGGAUGAAAGCUGGGGGAGCAAACCGGAUUAGAUACCCGGGUAGUCCCAGCUGUAAACGAUGCAGACUCGGUGAUGCCCUGGCUUGUGGCCAGUGCAGUGCCGCAGGGAAGCCGUUAAGUUUGCCGCCUGGGAAGUACGUACGCAAGUAUGAAACUUAAAGGAAUUGGCGGGGGAGCACCACAAGGGGUGAAGCCUGCGGUUCAAUUGGAGUCAACGCCAGAAAUCUUACCCGAGGAGACAGCAGAAUGAAGGUCAAGCUGGAGACUUUACCAGACAAGCUGAGAAGUGGUGCAUGGCCGUCGCCAGCUCGUGCCGUGAGAUGUCCUGUUAAGUCAGGUAACGAGCGAGAUCCCUGCCUCUAGUUGCCACCAUUACUCUCAGGAGUAGUGGGGCGAAUUAGCGGGACCGCCACAGUUAAUGUGGAGGAAGGAAGGGGCCACGGCAGGUCAGUAUGCCCUGAAACCUUGGGGCCACACGCGGGCUGCAAUGAUAGUGACAAUGAGUUCCUAAACCGAAAGGUGGAGGCAAUCUUCAAACGCUAUCACAGUUAUGAUUGAGGGCUGCAACUCGCCCUCAUGUAUAUGGAAUCCCUAGUAACUGCGUGUCAUUACCGCGCGGUGAAUACGUCCCUGCUCCUUGCACACACUGCCCGUC